Molecule: ribosomal RNA, 453 nt
Filed under: uncultured bacterium
Lineage: Bacteria
Description: bacterial SSU rRNA
Rfam family: Bacterial small subunit ribosomal RNA
Source: RNAcentral
GACGAACGCUGGCGGCGUGCUUAACACAUGCAAGUCGAACGGAAAGGCCCUGCUUGCAGGGUACUCGAGUGGCGAACGGGUGAGUAACACGUGGGUGAUCUGCCCUGCACUUCGGGAUAAGCCUGGGAAACUGGGUCUAAUACCGGAUAGGAGCCAUUUUUAGUGUGAUGGUUGGAAAGUUUUUCGGUGUAGGAUGAGCUCGCGGCCUAUCAGCUUGUUGGUGGGGUAAUGGCCUACCAAGGCGGCGACGGGUAGCCGGCCUGAGAGGGUGGACGGCCACAUUGGGACUGAGAUACGGCCCAGACUCCUACGGGAGGCAGCAGUGGGGAAUAUUGCACAAUGGGCGCAAGCCUGAUGCAGCGACGCCGCGUGGGGGAUGACGGCCUCGGUUGGUAACGUACCUUCGUCUAGGACGAAGCGUUUUGUUGUACGGUACCGUACGAUAAGAAGACA